CCCCUCGACCCUGAGGAUAUCACGGAAUACAUUCUUAAUGGUCUUGAUGAUGAUUAAAAACCAUUUAUUGACGCCGUUCAAGCUUGUGAUAUUCCCAUCUCCUUUGAUGAAUUAAAUGAAAAACUGAUCUGUCUCGAGC
Molecule: small nucleolar RNA, 139 nt
Filed under: Beta vulgaris subsp. vulgaris (sugar beet)
Lineage: Eukaryota; Viridiplantae; Streptophyta; Magnoliopsida; Caryophyllales; Amaranthaceae
Description: Small nucleolar RNA Z247
Rfam family: Small nucleolar RNA Z247
About the family: Z247 is a member of the C/D class of snoRNA which contain the C (UGAUGA) and D (CUGA) box motifs. Most of the members of the box C/D family function in directing site-specific 2'-O-methylation of substrate RNAs.
Source: Rfam by way of RNAcentral